GUAGGUGAACCUGCGGAAGGAUCAUUAUUGAAAUAAACCUGAUGGGUUGUUGCUGGUUCUCUAGAGAGCAUGUGCACGCCUUGUCAUCUUUAUAUCUCCACCUGUGCACUCUUUGUAGACCUUUCAGGUCUAUGUUGCCUCUUCAUUUACCCCAAUGUAUGUUAAUAGAAUGUCGUGCCUAUGAAAAAUCUAUACAACUUUCAGCAACGGAUCUCUUGGCUCUC
Molecule: unclassified non-coding RNA, 224 nt
Filed under: rhizosphere metagenome
Description: partial ribosomal RNA internal transcribed spacer region
Source: RNAcentral